ACUCAAAGGAAUAGACGGGGGCCCGCACAAGCGGUGGAGCAUGUGGUUCAAUUCGAAGCAACGCGAAGAACCUUACCAACUUUUGACAUGCCUCGUAUGGUCGUCAGAGAUGACUUCCUUCCCGCAAGGGGCGAGAGCACAGGUGCUGCAUGGCUGUCGUCAGCUCGUGUCGUGAGAUGUUGGGUUAAGUCCCGCAACGAGCGCAACCCUCGGCCUUAGUUGCCAUCAUUCAGUUGGGCACUCUAAGGCGACUGCCGGUGAUAAGCCGGAGGAAGGUGGGGAUGACGUCAAGUCCUCAUGGCCCUUACAGGUUGGGCUACACACGUGCUACAAUGGCGGUGACAGAGGGAUGCAAUGGAGCAAUCCUGCGCAAAUCUCAAAAAGCCGUCUCAGUUCGGAUUGUGCUCUGCAACUCGAGCACAUGAAGUUGGAAUCGCUAGUAAUCGCAGAUCAGCACGCUGCGGUGAAUACGUUCCCGGGCCUUGCACACACCGCCCGU
Molecule: ribosomal RNA, 499 nt
Filed under: uncultured bacterium
Lineage: Bacteria
Description: partial 16S ribosomal RNA
Rfam family: Bacterial small subunit ribosomal RNA
Source: RNAcentral